UAGCUCUUUAAUUGAGAGAUAGGAUGAAUGGCCUCACCGACGAGAAGUUUUUUAAAUAAAAUUGAAUUUUUUUUCUGGUGAAAAAACUGGAAUUUUAUUUUUAGACGAUAAGACCCUAUGAAGCUUUACUAUGAUUUAGUUUUUUUGGGGCAAAAUGAAAUUUAGGUAUUUCUCUUAAGUAUAAUAAUGAUCUUAAUAAAUUUUAAGAAAAAGCUACUCUAGGGAUAACAGCAUAAUUUUUAUUAAAGCUCUUAUUAAAUUAAAAGAUUGUGACCUCGAUGUUGAAUUAAGGAAUUUAUCUUGUGUAGCAGCUAGAUAUUUUUAGUCUGUUCGACUAAUUAUCCUUA
RNAcentral lists this ribosomal RNA (347 nucleotides) under Skistodiaptomus pallidus. RNAcentral describes it as "partial 16S ribosomal RNA". The record is from RNAcentral. Lineage: Eukaryota; Metazoa; Arthropoda; Copepoda; Calanoida; Diaptomidae.